ACCCUUGCCGCCCUAGCGGCCAACGGAGGUCGACCACGUUCCCUAACCAUGGUUAGGGACGGGUGCCACCGAGAGGCGCUGAAGGCUUCGAGAGUGAGAUGGAUGGAAAAAACCUCCACGCAAACACCCUAAUUUAUAGCGCAAAGCUCGAAGGCCACCCUCCUCGCUCCAGAAGCCGCCGCCCCUCUCGCCCAAUCGCCCUCAAGUCAUGAGCGGAAAAUGGAACCUCCCUGAUGCACCAAUGCAUGCAGGGGCGGGCCCAUCCACGCCCGCGGCUUUUGAGGCCAUGAUCACCACUUGCCCGAUCACCGCUGCGCAUACCCUACGCGUGGCAGAAGCAUUUCCAAGGAAUAAAGGGGCCAUCACGCACACGCCGCGCACCCUCCCACUUCAGGCGUUCAAUGUGCGACGUCGGGAAAGAAAGCCUACAAAGGCUUGAUUCUGAUAAGCCCGGGGCCUGCGAGUGCGUGCACUGCUUUGGGCCUGGCCCAACAACGCCUCGCAUGCGUGUGUGGCCCAGGCCCGGGGGCUCCGGUCGGUGCACUAAAGACCGGGGUCUCCAUUUACCCGGACUAGUGCGUGGACACUGGCAGCCCCCUCCACAGCGACAAGGCGCGUCUCUGGUGUAUAGGGCGGAAGAAAGCCUCGGAAGCCCACCAAGUGCAGACUGGAAGCCCCCCGGCAAGCGCCCGCUUGUUGGGAAUGAAGAAGAGACCCCGGCAGGAGCUCCCCCCCGGGAAGAUAGACACUGCCAAGGCAAGACCCUCCCGCCAAGGAAGAAGGACUGAGCCCCGGCAAGCCAUCCUUGCCGGGAAUAUUGACAAGGCCUCGGCAUGCCAUCACCUCCCUGCCGAGAGGAACAAGAAGAUCCCCCAGCAAAGUAACCCUGCCGGGGAGGAAAAGAAUGCCCGAAGAGAGUCGCGGGCCCAGGGCGCCUUCGCGUCCUAUGAACGCCUCCACCGACGAACACGCCACCGCCGAUGCAUGGACCACGCGUUCGUCCACACGCUAGCGCAACACCCCGAAGUUGCCACGUGUGGGUACGUGUCCAACCCCCCUCACGAGGUUAGGAAGUCUAUCAAAGCAUUUAAUGCACCGCAGUAACACUGUGGCGGGCGGUCGGCGUUGUUCCACUCGUGAACCCACGUUCACCCGUUGAGCCACUGUGGUGACCCCUUCGCCUAUAAAAGGAGGCCUGAGGCUCAAUAGAAAGGACUGUUGGCUUUUUGACCAAUCGAAGGCUGUAAGAGGGACAGAUCUACAGUAAACUUAAACAAAUAACUAAACACAUGCAGGAGUAGGGUUUUACGCACAACGCGGCCCGAACCUGGGUAAAAUUGACCUUGCCAGGCCCUGACUAUUGGUUCUGCUCUUGCCGCGACCCCUCUCCCCGCCAAACUAGCAAAAGGAGACCGUUGAGGCCCCCAUAGGUGUCGAUCCUUUCACCGACAACGGGUGAUCCAUCCGAUCGCGCGCGAGGUCCGGGACGUCGCUCGGUGGAGGCGGCGUGACGGCGUCUGAGAUGAAGCCGGNGUCCCAACGCAGCCGGUGCGUGACCGUAUGAAGGCGGGUGGUGAUGAAAUGGUCCCAGUCGGAGAACGACGACAACAACCGGCACAAGACGAGGGCGAGCAGACACGUAGUUGACGGCCGUUAGGGGCCGCAGCAUCGCAAGGGGCGCCUCGUCGGUUAGGAGGCCGGGCCACGCCGAUGUCUGAGUAGAGGCACGAGAUUGAUGGAGGCGGCGAGCGACGCAAACCGAUCUUAGAUCAGAAAACCAAAAAGAAAAAAUAUCGAUCAAAGCGACCAACAGAAGAGAGAAAACGCGGAUCAAGAAAUUGCGAAAAAGACUCUCUAGGGCAGCCAGAUAACACGACCGGCGGAUGAACCCUAGGUACGGCCGGCGCGGCUUCAGUGGCAGUCAUGGGGACCGAUAGCCCGAGGGCAACGCAUGGGGCGAAAGCGACAGACAGUGGCUAGGUCUCGGAACUUGGUGCAGAUAUCAUGUUAAAAGUGUAGAGACUUAGAUUUGGGCUAUGCAACUCUCAAUAUUGAUCGGAUGCACUAGACACGUAUAUAUAAGGUAUAAAAUAGGCCUCAACCUCAACUAUACAAGAAACUAGGAGGUGGGUCUAUGACACAAUAUACACAGUGGCGAAGCCACAUAAAAGCUGUGUGAUCACUUGACCACACAACAUUUUAGUGAAACUCUUAACUACAAGGAAAAAUUAUUGAGAAGAUAGUACAAAAAACUGUAAAUACACAUCUAAUUGACAUUACAACUUAAAGUGUACGUCACAUACUUGAAUUUUUUUCACCGCCACUGAACAUACAUGCACAAAUAUAUACUCAACCCCCUGGCAGUCAAAGCACGCCGAGAGACCCAAAGAAUGAAACGAAGCUCCUCGAAGAUGAAAAUUGACAGUCCCUUAGUUAUCACAUCGACGAACUGCGGUCGGAACAUGAAAAAUCGGAUGUGACUAAGGGCGUCAUGUUCAAGCACAAAGUGGAUAUCAAGCUCCAUGUGCUUCCUGGAUAUAGACGGAUUUAUGAAAUACGUAGUUGUUAUAUUGAUUGAGCUUCCUAGACAUUAUAUAUAGAAGUACAAUGAUCAAUUUAAGUAUAAGUUAAAAUAAGACAAAUAAUAAUUUAUCUUAUAUUUCGUAAUAAUCAAUAUAGAGUGGGUGUCAGGGGAAGCCUUACAAUAGCGGCUUCGCAGCUGGUCAGCUGACAAUGAUGAGUACAGGGCACAAGGAUGGUGAUAGCGACGGGCGAAGUGCACCAGCGCGCGCUCUGGGCGCGGCCGAACCUUGUGGCUGGUGCUGGAUCGGCAGAGGGAGAAUGACUGGCUGGUGCGUAUGCGUGCAUGGGAACAAAUGGAUAUUCUUAUCCGGAAGCCACCAAUGGGAGGCCGUAUCUUAUCCGCGCCUCGCAUAGAUAACACUUGCCUGCCCUGACAACUCGCCUCUCAACCACGAGUGAGAUCGAUCUUCCCGCGUACCAAGCCCACCGACCAACAUGGCAGCGUCUCUCCAAGCCGCGGCCACGCUGAUGCCGGCCAAGAUCGGCGGCCGGGCCUCCUCCGUGCGGCCGUCGUCGCACGUCGCCCGGGCGUUCGGCGUCGACGCUGCCGCCAGGAUCACGUGCUCCCUGCAAUCCGACAUCAGGGAGGUCGCAAGCAAGUGCGCCGACGCCGCCAAGAUGGCCGGCUUCGCCCUCGCAACCUCUGCCCUCCUCGUCUCUGUAAGCUGACUAAUCUAUUCUAUUGCCGUGCAUGGCCGUUUAUUCUAGUCCAGCUAGCUAGAGUGACUCGCGUGGGUGCAGGGCGCAAGUGCGGAGGGGGCGCCCAAGAGGCUGACCUUCGACGAAAUCCAGAGCAAGACCUACAUGGAGGUGAAGGGUACCGGCACCGCGAACCAGUGCCCGACCAUCGACGGCGGCGUCGACUCCUUCCCCUUCAAGGCCGGCAAGUACGAGAUGAAGAAGUUCUGCCUGGAGCCCACCUCCUUCACCGUCAAGGCCGAGGGCAUCCAGAAGAACGAGCCACCGGCCUUCCAGAAGACCAAGCUCAUGACCCGUCUCACUUACACCCUUGACGAGAUGGAAGGCCCGCUCGAGGUCGGCGCCGACGGCACCCUCAAGUUCGAGGAGAAGGACGGCAUCGACUACGCGGCCGUCACAGUGCAGCUCCCCGGAGGCGAGCGCGUGCCGUUCCUCUUCACCGUCAAGCAGCUCGUCGCCACCGGCAAGCCGGAGAGCUUCAGCGGGCCCUUCCUCGUGCCCAGCUACAGGGGUUCCUCUUUCCUCGACCCAAAGGGCCGUGGUGGCUCUACUGGCUACGACAACGCGGUGGCGCUGCCCGCCGGAGGCAGAGGAGACGAGGAGGAGCUGGCCAAGGAGAACGUGAAGAACGCGUCCUCCUCCACGGGCAACAUCACCCUCAGCGUGACCAAGAGCAAGCCGGAGACCGGCGAGGUGAUAGGCGUCUUCGAGAGCGUGCAGCCGUCAGACACCGACCUCGGCGCCAAGGCGCCCAAGGAUGUCAAGAUCCAGGGUGUGUGGUACGCGCAGCUCGAGUCUAACUAGAGCAUAGCAGAAGUGAAGAUACUCAUCUUUUGUGCAUGCAUACGUGGGUUGGUCGGUGGAGAGGAAAGAAUCGAGGCAAC
This 4166-nucleotide long non-coding RNA is filed under the name Hordeum vulgare. RNAcentral describes it as "long non-coding RNA (HVUL_LNC004237)". Lineage: Eukaryota; Viridiplantae; Streptophyta; Magnoliopsida; Poales; Poaceae. The record is from RNAcentral.